RNAcentral lists this transfer RNA (71 nucleotides) under Poecile palustris (marsh tit). RNAcentral describes it as "tRNA-His". It matches the Rfam family "tRNA". From Rfam's summary of the family: Transfer RNA (tRNA) molecules are approximately 80 nucleotides in length. Their secondary structure includes four short double-helical elements and three loops (D, anti-codon, and T loops). The record is from RNAcentral. Lineage: Eukaryota; Metazoa; Chordata; Aves; Passeriformes; Paridae.
GCAGGUAUAGUUUCAAUCCAAAACAUUAGACUGUGAUCCUAAAAAUAGAAGUUAAAUUCUUCUUACCCGCC